GACGAACGCUGGCGGCGUGCUUAACACAUGCAAGUCGAACGGUAAGGCCCUUUCGGGGGUACACAAGUGGCGAACGGGUGAGUAACACGUGGGUGAUCUGCCCUGCACUUUGGGAUAAGCCUGGGAAACUGGGUCUAAUACCGGAUAGGACUACGCGAUGCAUGUCGUGUGGUGGAAAGCUUUUGCGGUGUGGGAUGGGCCCGCGGCCUAUCAGCUUGUUGGUGGGGUGAUGGCCUACCAAGGCGACGACGGGUAGCCGGCCUGAGAGGGUGUCCGGCCACACUGGGACUGAGAUACGGCCCAGACUCCUACGGGAGGCAGCAGUGGGGAAUAUUGCACAAUGGGCGCAAGCCUGAUGCAGCGACGCCGCGUGGGGGAUGACGGCCUUCGGGUUGUAAACCCCUUUCAGCACAGACGAAGCGUAAGUGACGGUAUGUGCAGAAGAAGCACCGGCCAACUACGUG
This 464-nucleotide ribosomal RNA is filed under the name uncultured bacterium. RNAcentral's name for it is "partial 16S ribosomal RNA". It matches the Rfam family "Bacterial small subunit ribosomal RNA", at positions 28 to 507 of the family's 1533-position model. The record is from RNAcentral.